CCUACGGGCGGCAGCAGUGAGGAAUAUUGGUCAAUGGCCGAGAGUCUGAACCAGCCAAGUCGCGUGAGGGAAGAAUGUCCUAUGGAUUGUAAACUUCUUUUGUCAGGGAGUAAAGUCACCCACGUGUGGGUGUUUGAGAGUACCUUAAGAAUAAGCAUCGGCUAACUCCGUGCCAGCAGCCGCGGUAAUACGGAGGAUGCGAGCGUUAUCCGGAUUUAUUGGGUUUAAGGGGUGCGUAGGCGGGUUAUCAAGUCAGCGGUAAAAUCGUGGGGCUCAACUCCAUCCAGCCGUUGAAACUGAUGGUCUUGAGUGGGCGAGAGGUAGGCGGAAUGCGUGGUGUAGCGGUGAAAUGCAUAGAGAUCACGCAGAACUCCGAUUGCGAAGGCAGCAUACCAGGGCACGACUGACGCUGAAGCACGAAAGCGUGGGUAUCGAACAGGAUUAGAUACCCUGGUAGUC
This 459-nucleotide ribosomal RNA is filed under the name uncultured bacterium. Its description in RNAcentral is "partial 16S ribosomal RNA". It matches the Rfam family "Bacterial small subunit ribosomal RNA", at positions 338 to 795 of the family's 1533-position model. The record is from RNAcentral.